GACGAACGCUGGCGGCGUGCUUAACACAUGCAAGUCGAACGGAAAGGCCCUGCUUUUGUGGGGUGCUCGAGUGGCGAACGGGUGAGUAACACGUGAGUAACCUGCCCUUGACUUUGGGAUAACUUCAGGAAACUGGGGCUAAUACCGGAUAGGAGCUCCUGCUGCAUGGUGGGGGGUGGAAAGUUUCGGCGGUUGGGGAUGGACUCGCGGCUUAUCAGCUUGUUGGUGGGGUAGUGGCUUACCAAGGCUUUGACGGGUAGCCGGCCUGAGAGGGUGACCGGCCACAUUGGUACUGAGCUACGGCCCAGACUCCUACGGGAGGCAGCAGUGGGGAAUAUUGCACAAUGGGCGGAAGCCUGAUGCAGCAACGCCGCGUGCGGGAUGACGGCCUUCGGGUUGUAAACCGCUUUCGCCUGUGACGAAGCGUGAGUGACGGUAAUGGGUAAAGAAGCACCGGCUAACUACGUG
Molecule: ribosomal RNA, 468 nt
Filed under: uncultured bacterium
Lineage: Bacteria
Description: partial 16S ribosomal RNA
Rfam family: Bacterial small subunit ribosomal RNA
Source: RNAcentral